GUGGGUUAUAAAUCGAGGUCAAAGAGGGUAAAGAUUAGAGCCUUAAGACUGGCAGUCUUGAGGUCAGGGGUUCGAUCCCCCUCAGCUCCACCA
This 93-nucleotide transfer RNA is filed under the name Leptospirillum ferriphilum ML-04. RNAcentral's name for it is "tRNA-Ala (GGC) (tRNA-Ala-GGC-2-1)". The record is from RNAcentral. Lineage: Bacteria; Pseudomonadati; Nitrospirota; Nitrospiria; Nitrospirales; Nitrospiraceae.